Molecule: ribosomal RNA, 427 nt
Filed under: uncultured bacterium
Lineage: Bacteria
Description: bacterial SSU rRNA
Rfam family: Bacterial small subunit ribosomal RNA
Source: RNAcentral
UGGGGAAUUUUGGACAAUGGGCGCAAGCCUGAUCCAGCAAUGCCGCGUGCAGGAUGAAGGCCUUCGGGUUGUAAACUGCUUUUGUACGGAGCGAAAAGGUCUACCCUAAUACGGUGGGCCCAUGACGGUACCGUAAGAAUAAGCACCGGCUAACUACGUGCCAGCAGCCGCGGUAAUACGUAGGGUGCGAGCGUUAAUCGGAAUUACUGGGCGUAAAGCGUGCGCAGGCGGUUAUAUAAGACAGAGGUGAAAUCCCCGGGCUCAACCUGGGAACUGCCUUUGUGACUGCAUAGCUAGAGUACGGUAGAGGGGGAUGGAAUUCCGCGUGUAGCAGUGAAAUGCGUAGAUAUGCGGAGGAACACCGAUGGCGAAGGCAAUCCCCUGGACCUGUACUGACGCUCAUGCACGAAAGCGUGGGGAGCAAACA